CCUACGGGUGGCAGCAGUGGGGAAUAUUGGACAAUGGGCGAAAGCCUGAUCCAGCCAUGCCGCGUGUGUGAAGAAGGCCUUCGGGUUGUAAAGUACUUUCAGUGGGGAAGAAAGCCUUGGGGCUAAUACCCUCGAGGAAGGACAUCACCCACAGAAGAAGCACCGGCUAACUCCGUGCCAGCAGCCGCGGUAAUACGGAGGGUGCGAGCGUUAAUCGGAAUUACUGGGCGUAAAGCGCGCGUAGGCGGUCUGAUAAGCCGGUUGUGAAAGCCCCGGGCUCAACCUGGGAACGGCAUCCGGAACUGUCAGGCUAGAGUGCAGGAGAGGAAGGUAGAAUUCCCGGUGUAGCGGUGAAAUGCGUAGAGAUCGGGAGGAAUACCAGUGGCGAAGGCGGCCUUCUGGACUGACACUGACGCUGAGGUGCGAAAGCGUGGGUAGCAAACAGGAUUAGAUACCCCGGUAGUC
Molecule: ribosomal RNA, 465 nt
Filed under: Vreelandella stevensii
Lineage: Bacteria; Pseudomonadati; Pseudomonadota; Gammaproteobacteria; Oceanospirillales; Halomonadaceae
Description: partial 16S ribosomal RNA
Rfam family: Bacterial small subunit ribosomal RNA
Source: RNAcentral